Molecule: non-coding RNA, 3294 nt
Organism: Vicugna pacos (alpaca)
Lineage: Eukaryota; Metazoa; Chordata; Mammalia; Artiodactyla; Camelidae
Source: RefSeq, a predicted model, not a curated record
GGAACAGCAGCAUUUGUAGAGUUUGUCUUUGGAGAUUUUCUUCCUUAGGUUAAUGCAGCUAAGACGACUGAGUUUGCAGACAGUUUAGUCAAUGUGCUUCAACUUUUAAAGACAAUGAAGAUUGAGCGUGUGCAGAUGGUGGCACUUACUCAUAGUCAUGUGCUCUGUGCUCAGCGCCCCGACCUGGCUCAUGAUGGCUGUUCAACGAAAUGCUUCGUGGAUUAAACUUGAGUUAGUAGCUGAGUGUCCCGGGGAUGCUAGGCGCCCUCUAGUACAGGUGAGCUGGUCCCAGCGCAUUUCAGUGGAAGCACUGCUACUGUCCUGCUGUUUUCGGUCCCUUCAGCCUGCUGCCCACUCACUUCCCAUGCCUUCUGCCUGGGCACCGCCCUUCCUCUGCCAGAGCAGGCUUCUGCUUUCCACAUCGGCACGGAGAGCUUCAGAGCGGGCUUAGCAAUAUCUGCAGUGCCUCUAGGUCCCGUGACUUAGAGACACGGUGAAGCUUGGGGGAAAUUUUCAUGAAAUGAGCCGUGGGAGGAAAGAAUAACUAUGAAAAAUCCUUUGCAGCCUAUGAAAUCAACACUGCCUUUUCCUCUUUUAUACGGAAAAUUUAAAACAUUCACAAUGACUCAGCAGAGCCUAAUACAACCAACACUUGUGUACCCAUCACCUGCGUCCAUUUCUUGCUAGUCGGCUUCAUCUGUGAACCCUUCCAGUUCUGUGCGCCCGUCUGCGCGUGUGCGGGUGAAACCAGUGAUGCUCGGCCUUUCUGUAAGAGCUGAUGGAGACGAGCUGCCAAGUCACAUCGGGGGAAUGACUCAGAGAAGGGAGCAGUGGGAGGCAGCCUGCACACACGAUAAACCGGGGCAGGCUCGGCUUUUGCGGAAUCCCCUCAUUCUGUAGACAGUCCUCUAUUGCUGGUGCAGUUGAGAAAGAUAAGGUAACUCCCCAAGGUGCUGGAGGGUCUACCUGCCAGACAGAAGACAGCGUUGUUCACCUGGAUUGCUGCAGUCAGCUAGGGAGAUCUCCUUUGCCUGCCUCUGGUCACCCUCGUCUCUACUCCAUUCUUUCAGAUCAGUUGUUUUCAACUGGUGCGCCCAGACACACAGGCGGACUUGAACUUACUACAGGUCUAAAGACACAUUUUCAUUAGCAUGUGAAAGUAAUUUUGGAUACAACCAACGAGAACAACCACAGAGCAGCAACACCAACUAACAUGUAGAUGACUCUCAGCAGGUGCCAGGUGCUACCCUAAGUGCUUGACAUGCAUCAUUGACUUAAUCCUCAAGAAAGACCUAACGAAGUAGAUUCUGCUGCUGAUCCCACCUUCAGAUGAGGAAACUGGGGCAGAGAGAGGGAAACUUGCCUAAGUUACCACCAAUAGUAAGCGGCACAGCUGGGUUUCAGAAUCUGCUCCUGAAAUAUCGUCAGGAUGAAACAAAUACUCUUCCCGCUAGACGUUCGCUAAGCUGAUUCCUGCCCAUCUUUCGAGAUCCAGCUCAAUGAUCCUCCUCUUUGCCACGUUCCCUGCUUCCUUCCCACUCCUCCCCUGAAGGAGAAAUUGCAGCUUUAUCUUGCUCCAGGAACAGCCCUUGAUAAUAGUGCUUAUCCCGCCAUGGUUGAUGCAUUAAUCACCCUGCCAGUCUGAGAGCUCCAGGCUGUGACUUAUUCACGCCUGUGUUCGUCUGUGUCCUGUAAGGUCUGAAAGGCUGUUGAUCUUCAGUAAUUCUGUCGUUGAGCUGAAGGAGUGGAAAUCAGGAUAUUUUAUGUAUGACUUUUUAGGAGGAAAUUGCAUCUCCUUUCAAAUAGAUUUUAAAAGCUAACUAUUAGUAUUCUGAAUUCGAUUUCAUUCUAUUACACAAACAGUAUUAAGAGAAUGGCUAAGGUGCCUGCAUUCCGGACCUUAGAGACUAGCAUGGGAGGCACAUUACCUAAUUAUGGCAGCGAGUCUGAACACUCUAAUAACAGAGCAAGGAGACUAACCUGGCCCCGGAGGAGGGGAGGUUUCCCUGAGAUAAUGACACUUAAACUGAGACCUAAAAGGAGAAAAAGAAUUAGUCAGGUGAGGAGGGGGAGAAUCAUAUUCUCUGCUCUGACCUGCCAAAAAAACAAAAACAAAAAACAAAAAACAGCAAGAUUCUCGCCCACUCUGGAGAUCUUAUGUUCUUUCAAGACACGGAUAAAAUUCUGCUCUCGCCAAAAAAUUUCCCUGAAUGUUUUAGCUUUGUGACUUAUUUCCUCUGAAAUCCUACAUUCACAAUAUUUUACAAUAAAUGUGAACGUCAGGGGUGUGUCCCAUAUUGGGGCACUGGGUUAUUUCAUGCAAGGACAACCUUGCAUGUUAGGUAUAUCUUUCCUUUUUUCAGAUGAGAAAUUGAGGCUUGGUGAGGUCAGGUGAAUUUUCCUAAAAUCUCAUAACUGGUAAGAGCAAAGGAGAGAGUUGGAUUUCAAAUUUAGGCGUGUUUGGUAGUUUUUGCAAGAGUUCUAUUAGGCAGGUACUCUUAUUUCCAUUUUACAGAUGGAGAAACUGAGAUCCCAAAAAAUUGGCCCCAAGUGACAAAGCUCUUGAAUGUGGCAGGCUCUGGAUUCCAGUUCAGGUCUGUUUUCCUCCAGAGACUGUGCUCUGAAGGGCUGGGACUAAGAAAGUUGCUCGGUAGACUCCCUCUGGUCUGAGCCCAUGUGCCAGCUCCAUGAUUGCUGUCCUGAGGCACUCUUGUGACUCUAGACUCUUGCUACCACAGGGUGGCCAUCCAUGGACCAGUGACACCACCAUCACCUGGGAGCUUAUUAGCAAAACAGAAUCUCAGGCCCCAUCCUAGAUCUAUUAAAUCCAAGUCUGCAUUGUAACAAGAUCCCCGGAUAAUCCCAGAUAAUGCUCUCACAUAAGGUGGGCCUUAGAAUUGCCCUUGCAAUGACAGACAGUGGAGUGUUGGCUUUCUGGGCCCCAGGACAGGUCAGUUCUUAGACUCUAGACUUGUGGAGAGUCCUGGGGCUCUGGACUGGGCUGGAUUUUCUCAAUGACCCCUAGGAGGUCCUGGUGCCCUGUGGAGACUGAGUCCAUGGUAGGAUCUUUGAGCUGGUGUCUAAUAUAUCAAGGGCCCCUCUGGGACUGCUGUUACCUGUGAGCUACAUUUUUAGCUUGUGGCAGUUUGUAAGCUACAGAUUGAAAUUAAAACACACCAAUAGCAUGAUGAAUUUUAAUAUCCUUGGAGGGAAAAAGAGAUAAAUAUCAUGCUCACAUUAUAAAAGGACUUGCAAGAGCCAAAUAACAUUUCCCAUAAACCCCUGCAAAUGUGU